GCCUUUGGCCCAGCAAUAUUACUACUAGGCAUAUUUCCAAAGAUGUCAAAGACAGAUGAAAAGGACUCAAAUAUGUAGAAGAAUUUGCAUCAGCUCCUUUCAUUGAAGCAGAGUUGGAAACAAAAUAUGUGACAACCAAUUGAAGAAUAGCAAAAACAAAUGGGGAGUAUGAAUGUAAUGGAAUAUUAUUGUGUCAUAAGGAGUGAUGAAUAUGCCUGAGUCAGAGAGACAUGGGAAGACUUGCAUGGACUAGUACUGAAUGAAAUGAGAAGAAUCAGAUUUACAUGAAGAUCACAAUAAUACAGAGAGAAAUAACGUUGAGAGAGGACAGAACUCAGAUCCAUUACUAGUCAGUGUCUAAUCAUAACUUCUGAUGGCUGAUGAUGAAACUUGCUACCUACUCUUGGCAGGAAAAUGCCUACAAAAGACACUGGCUGAAGGCUGAGGGGCCAUUUUCGAGACAAGACCGGGAGGUACUUGGUCUUUAAUCUGGUUGAAUGAUCUGGAGUGUCUCCUUUUGAGAGCAAUGUGAACAAAUUCCUUGUACAGAACCAUGAUCACGAAUAUCCGGGAG
This is a long non-coding RNA of Monodelphis domestica (gray short-tailed opossum), 574 nucleotides long. The record is from Ensembl. Lineage: Eukaryota; Metazoa; Chordata; Mammalia; Didelphimorphia; Didelphidae.